Molecule: ribosomal RNA, 252 nt
Filed under: uncultured Bacteroidales bacterium
Lineage: Bacteria; Pseudomonadati; Bacteroidota; Bacteroidia; Bacteroidales
Description: partial 16S ribosomal RNA
Rfam family: Bacterial small subunit ribosomal RNA
Source: RNAcentral
UACGUAGGUGGCAAGCGUUAUCCGGAUUUAUUGGGUUUAAAGGGUGCGUAGGCGGUCCGUUAAGUCAGCGGUAAAAUUGCGGGGCUCAACCCCGUCGAGCCGUUGAAACUGAUGUUCUUGAGUGGGCGAGAAGUAUGCGGAAUGCGUGGUGUAGCGGUGAAAUGCAUAGAUAUCACGCAGAACUCCGAUUGCGAAGGCAGCAUACCGGCGCCCAACUGACGCUGAAGCACGAAAGCGUGGGUAUCGAACAGG